This 301-nucleotide ribosomal RNA is filed under the name uncultured bacterium. RNAcentral's name for it is "partial 16S ribosomal RNA". It matches the Rfam family "Bacterial small subunit ribosomal RNA", at positions 509 to 807 of the family's 1533-position model. The record is from RNAcentral.
CAGUAGCCGCGGUAAUACGAAGGGGGCUAGCGUUGCUCGGAAUUACUGGGCGUAAAGGGAGCGUAGGCGGAUCGUUAAGUUGGGGGUGAAAGCCCGGGGCUCAACCUCGGAACUGCCUUCAAUACUGGCGAUCUUGAGUAUGAGAGAGGUGUGUGGAACUCCGAGUGUAGAGGUGAAAUUCGUAGAUAUUCGGAAGAACACCGGUGGCGAAGGCGGCGACCUGGUCCUUGACUGACGCUGAGGCGCGAAAGCGUGGGGAGCAAACAGGAUUAGAUACCCCUGUAGUCCCUGUCUCUUAUAC